Molecule: ribosomal RNA, 1511 nt
Filed under: metagenome
Description: bacterial SSU rRNA
Rfam family: Bacterial small subunit ribosomal RNA
Source: RNAcentral
AGAGUUUGAUCAUGGCUCAGAUUGAACGCUGGCGGCAGGCCUAACACAUGCAAGUCGAACGGUAACAGGAAACAGCUUGCUGCUUCGCUGACGAGUGGCGGACGGGUGAGUAAUGUCUGGGAAGCUGCCUGAUGGAGGGGGAUAACUACUGGAAACGGUAGCUAAUACCGCAUAAUGUCGCAAGACCAAAGAGGGGGACCUUCGGGCCUCUUGCCAUCGGAUGUGCCCAGAUGGGAUUAGCUUGUUGGUGGGGUAACGGCUCACCAAGGCGACGAUCCCUAGCUGGUCUGAGAGGAUGACCAGCCACACUGGAACUGAGACACGGUCCAGACUCCUACGGGAGGCAGCAGUGGGGAAUAUUGCACAAUGGGCGCAAGCCUGAUGCAGCCAUGCCGCGUGUAUGAAGAAGGCCUUCGGGUUGUAAAGUACUUUCAGCGGGGAGGAAGGGAGUAAAGUUAAUACCUUUGCUCAUUGACGUUACCCGCAGAAGAAGCACCGGCUAACUCCGUGCCAGCAGCCGCGGUAAUACGGAGGGUGCAAGCGUUAAUCGGAAUUACUGGGCGUAAAGCGCACGCAGGCGGUUUGUUAAGUCAGAUGUGAAAUCCCCGGGCUCAACCUGGGAACUGCAUCUGAUACUGGCAAGCUUGAGUCUCGUAGAGGGGGGUAGAAUUCCAGGUGUAGCGGUGAAAUGCGUAGAGAUCUGGAGGAAUACCGGUGGCGAAGGCGGCCCCCUGGACGAAGACUGACGCUCAGGUGCGAAAGCGUGGGGAGCAAACAGGAUUAGAUACCCUGGUAGUCCACGCCGUAAACGAUGUCGACUUGGAGGUUGUGCCCUUGAGGCGUGGCUUCCGGAGCUAACGCGUUAAGUCGACCGCCUGGGGAGUACGGCCGCAAGGUUAAAACUCAAAUGAAUUGACGGGGGCCCGCACAAGCGGUGGAGCAUGUGGUUUAAUUCGAUGCAACGCGAAGAACCUUACCUGGUCUUGACAUCCACGGAAGUUUUCAGAGAUGAGAAUGUGCCUUCGGGAACCGUGAGACAGGUGCUGCAUGGCUGUCGUCAGCUCGUGUUGUGAAUGUUGGGUUAAGUCCCGCAACGAGCGCAACCCUUAUCCUUUGUUGCCAGCGGUCCGGCCGGGAACUCAAAGGAGACUGCCAGUGAUAAACUGGAGGAAGGUGGGGAUGACGUCAAGUCAUCAUGGCCCUUACGACCAGGGCUACACACGUGCUACAAUGGCGCAUACAAAGAGAAGCGACCUCGCGAGAGCAAGCGGACCUCAUAAAGUGCGUCGUAGUCCGGAUUGGAGUCUGCAACUCGACUCCAUGAAGUCGGAAUCGCUAGUAAUCGUGGAUCAGAAUGCCACGGUGAAUACGUUCCCGGGCCUUGUACACACCGCCCGUCACACCAUGGGAGUGGGUUGCAAAAGAAGUAGGUAGCUUAACCUUCGGGAGGGCGCUUACCACUUUGUGAUUCAUGACUGGGGUGAAGUCGUAACAAGGUAACCGUAGGGGAA